AAGCUUGAUCUAUUACUGUACUCGUCCACAUGUAUCUAAAAGACCCUGUCUUUUGAGCUCUGAAAACUGCGGGAGACGUUACUGUGAUACGGCAGCAGGAAACACGCGCUUUAGGAGGUCAACAGUCAAGAAAUCUUCUGGAUACACUUG
This is a non-coding RNA of Caenorhabditis elegans, 150 nucleotides long. NCBI's taxonomy places the organism in Eukaryota, Metazoa, Nematoda, Chromadorea, Rhabditida, Rhabditidae. The record is from Ensembl.